Molecule: long non-coding RNA, 415 nt
Filed under: Gossypium raimondii (Peruvian cotton)
Lineage: Eukaryota; Viridiplantae; Streptophyta; Magnoliopsida; Malvales; Malvaceae
Description: long non-coding RNA (GRAI_LNC000144)
Source: RNAcentral
AAAAAUGAAGGAAGCUAACGUGAGAGGAAAAUUAGAAUGAAACAGAACAUGAGAAAAUGUGUUUUUUCUUUUUGAAGCUUUCCUAUUUCAAAAUUAAAAUAAAAAAAAUAAUUAAGUCAAAAAUUUACAAAACUUAAACCUAUCAAAAUUUUCAGAGUUGAAACCAGAAAAUAGUUUUCACUUUGUAUAUACAGGAAUUCAAACACACAACCAAAGGGUAUACAGAAGCUUAACCAUUGAACCACUAGGCUCAUCGUUGUCCCUCAAACGUAAAAAAAAGAAAGAAAAAAACGUAAAAGUCUAUCCAAAACUACUGACUCACCUGCAAACCUUAAUUCUUUUAACCCCAAAUUUCGGGGCAUUACAGUAAAUUUCAUUGCAAAAUGAGAUGAUCACUUAAAUGGUUAUUUUGUAA